This 472-nucleotide ribosomal RNA is filed under the name uncultured bacterium. RNAcentral's name for it is "SSU rRNA". It matches the Rfam family "Bacterial small subunit ribosomal RNA", at positions 26 to 518 of the family's 1533-position model. The record is from RNAcentral.
AGGACGAACGCUGGCGGCGUGCUUAACACAUGCAAGUCGAGCGGAAAGGCCCUUCGGGGUACUCGAGCGGCGAACGGGUGAGUAACACGUGAGCAACCUGCCCUUAGCUUCGGGAUAGCUCCGGGAAACCGGAAUUAAUACCGAAUAUGACUUUGGCUGACAUCAGCAGAAGUGGAAAGUUUUUCGGCUAGGGAUGGACUCGCGGCCUAUCAGCUAGUUGGUGAGGUAACGGCCCACCAAGGCGACGACGGGUAGCCGGCCUGAGAGGGCGACCGGCCACACUGGGACUGAGACACGGCCCAGACUCCUACGGGAGGCAGCAGUGGGGAAUAUUGCGCAAUGGGCGAAAGCCUGACGCAGCGACGCCGCGUGGGGAUGAAUGCCUUCGGGUUGUAAACCCCUUUCAGCAGGGACGAAGCGAAAGUGACGGUACCUGCAGAAGAAGCGCCGGCUAACUACGCGCAGCAGCCGC